UGAACAGGAACCUUACUGUAACAAGAAGAAUUAGAUGGAGCUGGAAGUUGGAAGUCACUAAAUCAAACCCAGAUGGAGUUGAACACAGUGGAGUUGCACAGGAAGUCAAAAAGUCUUUUUUUUUUUUUUUUUUUUUUAAUUUCAGGGAAAAACAAAAAUCUGAAAGGGUUUGGAUAUAAAAGUUGGGAAAUGUUGAGUGUUGGUUGUUAGAGAAAAGGAAAUGGGGGACAGAAACAGAAAGCAAGCAAGCAACAAAGAAAAUUUAACAACCCUAAUUCAUUUAUUAGAAUAGAUUAUGGGUGAGUGGAGUGCUGCAUAUAUAUAGCUAUGCACUUUGCCAAAGAUGGGAGGAUAUGAGGUUUCUGAUCUGACUGACUCAUCAAAAUUCAGAAAAGAGAGAGAGAGCAUACACCUUUUUUUAAUUAGUUUCAAGCUGGAAAGCUGAAGAACAAAAUGAAUCUUCAUCAUGUUCUGUGUUCAAUCAGCUCUCAACCAUGACAACAAUUACAAUAUUGAAUAUUGAAAAGAGGGACACACACCUGAGAGACUGACAGAAGAGAGUGAGCACACGCUACUUGUGAUUGUAUGAUUGCAUACAAUUGAGGGUGCGUGCUCGCUCUUCUUUCUGUCAGAUUCUCAUUUUUCUUUCUUCUUCUGGUGUGUUGUUUCCAUUUUUUCACCUACACUUGUCUCAUUCUUCUAGUCAUUUCUCUGAGCCAAUGGAUGAUAAUUAUAGCCCUGCAAAUGACACAUAUUACAUGAUCAUCCUUCUAAUUAGUGGAGGAAUUAAGAAUAUAUAUAUAUAUAUAUAUGACCACCUAUCUGCCUAUUAUCCUUUCGUUGUUUCUAGUUCACCCUUAUCUGUUUGUGUUUUACUCUAUUUCUUUAUUUCUCAUAUUAUAUAUUAUUAUCACAUAAUAUUAUAUUAUAUUAUAUUAUAUGUAUGGGUUUAUGCAACUGUGAUGGAGUUUCAAAGCGUGACUUUUUAUGGUACUUUCUUCACGGUGGACACGAACCCAAAUGGAGUUCUUGAAGGUACGCCUUGUUACUGUCUCUGUUACUGUUCAUCAUUUAACGGAUAUUGGGUGAGGUUUCGUCAAACCCUUGUUUUUUUAUUCUUAUUUUUUUCUCCUUCUCGCCUUCAAUCUGGUUCAGAAUUUGUGCCUAGCCCCCUUUUGUUCUGAUUUGCUGUUCUCCUGAUAAGUAGCAGUUUAGAGAAGCCAUCAGAAAAGGGCAAAUCAUGGGUUUAGCUUAAUUAUAUAUAUAUAUAAUAUUUUUAAAGUUUUUGAAUUUGAAGGGUCAGAAUCAGAUGAUGCAUAUAUUUAAACUAUAUCUUCUGUCUCCUUGAAUGCCGUUUUUUUAUUUUGUAGCCUGAGGUAAAGGAAACCCAUCAGCUAAAUAUGCCUAGAUUUAUUCCUUCCCUUUGUGGGCAUAUGUAUGCAUUUGUUUGCUACCGUGAUAAAAGAAAUUCAAGCAGCUAGCAACUUUCCUUAUUCAGCUUUACUGUUUGGUCGGUGUCACCACAGAACUGUGUCCAGAAGAACUUGAAGCACUACAAUAGUAUAAUCACUCAGGGUUUUAAAUUGCAGUUGCUGUCUUGUUAUAUUAUGCUUGCAUUAUCACAGCCUGAAGCAGUUGCAGUGGCAGCUACAACUGAGAUGUUGCAGCAUCAUCAGGUGAUGCGGUCCACAGUUUAAAACCUUGGUUGUGUGCUUGAAUCUGAAAGUGUAUACCCUUUUGUGAUUACUUAGAAGAGGAUAAGCAAUUUUAUCAGGGUUUACAGUUUCCCGUUUUCUUCAGUAUAAUUUGUGGAAUUAAAAACAUUAUGAGCUUGAAUUUCUUUUUGAAGUAUAUGACUAGAUGUCACUACAUUGAUAAUACGUAAUAUGUUAAAAUAUACCUCAUUUCAAGAUUCAAUUGCUUAUCUCAUUUUUCAUUAGUUUAUUAUGUGAUCUGUCUUCGAAAUGAGUUUUGAAGUCUUGUUGGCUGUUGAAUAUGCUGUGCAGUUUUGUUGUUUUGAAAGGUACUGCCAGUACUUCUGUUAUUGUUUAGAGUUGUUGAUAUUGUUACCGUUAUAUGCUAGAUAAAUGAUAGAAUUAAAAUUUGUAGGUGUGAAUUUACAUACGUGUGACUUGCAUUGCAUCAUUAAUGAUUUUGGCUUUGGUGCAUUGUUGGAAUAUUCAACUAUAACCUUCUAUUUUGUAGUUAAGACUGUAUGUUUUUGCCAUUUUCUUUUGUUUGCUGCAUGGCUUGUGGUUUUCAUUUAAAUUAUUUUUGGUAACAUAUUUCUUCUGGAUUCUACUUGUGUCUCAUAUAUUUAUAUCACUAUAUAUAAGAGUUCUAGUUUGUGGUUGAAAUUUUUUCGAUGCUGUGUCGGGAACUGUACACCGCUGAAUUCAGGUAUAUUAAUUUCAUAGUUGACACUGUAUUUUUGCAUACGUCCUGGAUAUGUUUUUGCUCAUGUUGUAGUAUAUAUUUUGACUAUCACACACUUUGAUCAAAAAAGAAAAACAUAAAUAUUUGGACAUUUACACACAAAUGCACGUCAACAAAAUGAAGAAAUUUGAUAUUUAAGUUUUUUUGCCGUAGGUAGAAUCUAAAUGGAAGUUACAUGUCAAGCACGAAAGCAUUAGCAAUUGGUGGGGAAAAUGCAAGAACAGAAGAUGCGUAUUCAAAUGUUCUAUUCCAACUGACAAUAUGGCUAUGAAUCCUUUGCAAAGUUUCCAUGUCUCAUGCAUCGAAAAAAAUGGGAACUGGGUUGCACAAAUAUGUAGUAAUAGUGUGCGGUUUUGGCUAGGACUCUUCAUGUCUGUACAUGAUGCAAGUAAGGCUUAUAAUAGCACAACUAUCAAGAUUUUCAAAGUCAAUAUAGUAAAAGAGGUUGUGCUCAAUAUGAUGGAGUGAUGGUUGUUCAACACUUGGUACCAACUCAAGUUUGUGGAGUUUCUGAUGAGUGAUAACUCUCUGCUUAGUUAUUAGAAGUAAUGAAUAAAUGAUCUUAACUUGUAUAUGAUGCAUCAAAUAAGAGGGUUCUCAUCAUGUGAAGGAGUUGGUGUGAAGAAUGGACUCGUCAUCCCCAGAAGACAAGCCAAAAAUUGCUUUAGUGAUUUUUUCUUCUUCUUGAAUUUUAGAAGAAAAUGCUCAUAACAAUUAUAUUUUUGUUGUGGUUAAUUGGAUCCGUUAUUGUUCUCAAUGAGAUAAUGAUACGUCAUGACAUAAUUAUAUUUUUA
Gastrolobium bilobum is the source of this 3230-nucleotide long non-coding RNA. RefSeq lists it as uncharacterized. The record is from RefSeq and is a predicted model, not a curated record. Lineage: Eukaryota; Viridiplantae; Streptophyta; Magnoliopsida; Fabales; Fabaceae. The transcript is spliced from 3 exons.